UGUGUGUGUGUGUGUGUGUGUGUGUGUGUGUGUGUGUGUGUGUGUGUGUGUGUGUGUGUGUGUGUGUGUGUGUGUGUGUGUGUGUGUGUGUGUGUGUGUGUGUGUGUGUGUGUGUGUGUGUGUGUGUGUGUGUGUGUGUGUGGGUGUGUGUGUGUGUGUGUGUGUGUGUGUGUGUGUGUGUGUGUGGGUGGGUGUGGGUGUGGGUGUGGGUGUGGGUGUGGGUGUGGGGUGUGGGGUGGGUGGGUGGGUGGGUGGGUGGGUGGGUGUGGAUGUGGAUGUGGGUGUGGGGUGUGUGGGUGUGGGGGGGGGGGGUUACAUUCAUGAUUGUUUAAGAAGUGAAGGCGUAGCCAGGAACAGUAGCAUAGCAUUCAUGAUUGCUUAAGAAGGGCGGCAGAUCAGUUUGGGGGGGGACACACAGUAUGCCCGAGCCCAACCAAAUAGGCUCCAUUUCUCGAGGAAUUGUCGCUCUACCCAGGAAUGCAAGAUGGCGAUGGGGCGAGGCGUGUGUGUUUGCGUGUUCGUGUGUUCGUGUGGUGUGCAG
Molecule: long non-coding RNA, 541 nt
Filed under: Chlamydomonas reinhardtii
Lineage: Eukaryota; Viridiplantae; Chlorophyta; Chlorophyceae; Chlamydomonadales; Chlamydomonadaceae
Description: long non-coding RNA (CREI_LNC000370)
Source: RNAcentral